Molecule: unclassified non-coding RNA, 332 nt
Filed under: Hevea brasiliensis (rubber tree)
Lineage: Eukaryota; Viridiplantae; Streptophyta; Magnoliopsida; Malpighiales; Euphorbiaceae
Source: RNAcentral
UUUACUAAUAAUUUCAAAAUCAUACAAUUAAAUCAGGCAAGAAUUACUCAUUUUUACACUGUCAUAUAAGCAAUAAAAUAUUGAACAAAAGAAAUUAUAGAUAAAAGUUUUGAAUUCCUGAUAAAGUGAUUUUGCAUUUAGUUUCUGAAAGUAAUUCCAAACAAAAUGUUGAGUUCCAACAAUAAAAAAAUACUCCCUUUGAAUUGAGCUUUCAGUAUGUAAUUGUUGUCUAUAUCUACUCAAGCCAAAAGUUUGCCUCAAAUUAUAUUCCAAAUCAGUUAGUUUAAAUUUUAAUCUUAAUUUUUGAGCACCACAGAACUUGUGUAUGUAGA